GGCAAUAUAGCUCAGUGGUAGAGCACUUGCCUAGCAUGUGAGAGGUCCUGGGUUUGAUCUCCAACACUGCCA
RNAcentral lists this transfer RNA (72 nucleotides) under Ictidomys tridecemlineatus (thirteen-lined ground squirrel). RNAcentral describes it as "Spermophilus tridecemlineatus (thirteen-lined ground squirrel) tRNA". It matches the Rfam family "tRNA". Rfam says of the family: Transfer RNA (tRNA) molecules are approximately 80 nucleotides in length. Their secondary structure includes four short double-helical elements and three loops (D, anti-codon, and T loops). Lineage: Eukaryota; Metazoa; Chordata; Mammalia; Rodentia; Sciuridae. The record is from Rfam by way of RNAcentral.